This is an RNA transcript of Fragaria vesca subsp. vesca, 2359 nucleotides long. It is a transcript of the gene named L-type lectin-domain containing receptor kinase S.6-like, with no coding region annotated. The transcript has 5 exons. NCBI's taxonomy places the organism in Eukaryota, Viridiplantae, Streptophyta, Magnoliopsida, Rosales, Rosaceae. The record is from RefSeq and is a predicted model, not a curated record.
AUGAGUAGUUUUCCAAGUAGUGUUGAGAGUGGAGAGAGUAUAGGUUUCAGUAAUUUGAAUGAUUCGAACGGUAGUUUGUGUAGGUUGCUUGGUAACCGUCUCGAGAGAUUUGAAUUGGUGUAUGGGAGUGAGUGUGGUGGGGGUGUGAAUUGCAAUCCUCUUGGUGUUGCUGCCGUAAUAGAGAUCGAAUCAGAAAACUGUGUAAAUGAGACUAUCAUCAGUGCUAUCCAUGAAACUCCCAGUGCUGGGGUUCUGCUUUUCUUACAUCAAAGAUCAUCAGAUGGUGGAAGAACAGAGCAUUCCCUUUUGCUUAUGCGAACAAGCAGAACAAAACCAAGCUGGAGAAGUGGAGAUUCAGAAGAUGACUUAUACGAACAAGCAAAACAAAUCCGAGCUGCAAAACUCGCUGCCAAAGCUGUCAUGCGAUCGAGGUCCUCCUCAGUUCCCUCUUUGCCUGAAACUGUAGAUGGCAAACGUCGUCAUAUUACUUAUGAGUUUCUUCCAUAUUUGCUCCCAUCUCUCUCUCUGCCAUCAACCAACAUCACCCUCUUCGGCGACGCCUCCAUAACCCACAACACCAUCAGCCUCACUCGGCCGCUCUCCACCUGCCCAAGCACCAACGCCUCCGAGGUCAGGGCCGGCGGGGCCUUCUACUCCAACCCAGUUCGGUUUCUUGACCCAGAAACCCAAGAUUUCCCUUCUUUCGCCUCUUUCUUGAGCCGCUUCACUUUCACCAUCACCCAGUUGUGCUCUUCCGGCGACGGCAUGGCGUUUGUGAUCACCUCCGACCUGAAAGGUUUAAGCUACUCGAUAGGGUCUAUGACAUCAAUGGGAGCCAUGUCGGGAUUGAUAUCAAUAGUGUUGAGACUGUGGCUUCUGUUAAUGCUGGGGUUGAUUUGGUGGGUGGGAAGGAGAUUACUGCUUGGGUUGAGUAUAGAGAUGAUCUGAAGUUGAUUCGGGUCGGGGUAGGGGUUUCACCGGAGAAUAAGCCUCCGAGUCCGGUUAUUGUCGCCCAGAUUGACCUUUCCGGUCAAUUUAGUGAGUUGGCGUAUGUGGGAUUAACUGCAGCAAAUGGGAGGGGCGGCUCUUCUGCCUACAUUGUUAAGAAUUGGAUGUUUAAGACUUUCAAUGGGUCUCUGCCUUCUGUGCUUCCUAUGGAUUUCUGGGAGCAGCAGUGUUUUAUAUGUAGGCAUUCAAGUAUUAACGUCAAUUCUGUUCGUGUGAGGAAGACAGUAAUUGUUUUCGCAUUGCUGUUGUUUAUACUGGUUACUUUCGUGAUUUGCUUUGUGUGUGGGAAGAAGAGGAAGGGGAGUGGCAGAAGGAUUGGACCAGGGCCGAGUUGUAGAGUUGAGACGAGUAGAGUACCAAGGAGUUUUUCACGUAAAGAGAUCACAUGGGCUACAAUGGGGUUUAAUAGAAGUAGAAUUGUUGGGGAAGGAGCAACAGGUAAGGUGUACAAAGGUUGUUUGGUAUCUGGUGAAGAAGUGGCAGUCAAAAGGCUUGAGAGAUCUGAUGGGCUUGAGCUUUUGCGUGGUUCUUUUAUCACGGAGUUUAUAACCAUGGCAGGGUAUUUGCGGCACAAGAAUUUGGUUCAGCUUCAUGGCUGGUGCUGUGAGGGUAAUGAGCUAGUUCUGGUGUAUGAGUUUGUACCAAAUGGUAGCCUCAACAGAUAUAUCCACAGAAGCUUCAAUGUGGCUGCUGUCCUAUCUUGGAAGCAAAGACUUAAUAUAGUUGAUGGAGUUGCAUCGGCUCUUAUGUAUCUUCAUGAGGAGUGUGAGAGGCAGAUAAUUCACGGAGAUGUUAGAACUUGCAACAUAAUGCUAGAUGCAGAGUUAAAUGCAAAGCUUGAGGGCUUUGAUCUGGCAAAAGUUCAUGAUCGCAGUUCAAUCACAAGAGAAGCGACCAUACCAGCCGGAACAAUGGGAUAUCUUGCUCCUGAAUAUGUUUACUCUGGUGUUGCAACUGUUAAAACUGAUGUCUACAGCUUUGGUGUGGUGAUCUUAGAGGUGGCUACAGGUAGAAAGCCAGUGGAGGAUGAUGGUACAGUGAUUGUUGAUUGGGUUUGGGGCCUGUGGGAAGUGGGGAAACUGAUUGAAUCUGCUGAUCCAUGGCUGGCUGGGAAUUUUGACAAGGUAGAGAUGGAAAGACUGCUGAUGACUGGACUUGCUUGUGUGCACCCAAAUCCUGCAAAGAGGCCAACAGUUAAAGAAGCUGCAAAGAUAUUACAAGGAAAAGCGUUACUUCCUGUAUUGCCUGCAAGAAAACCUAGCGGGGUGAGCCUUCGUGAUUGGUGCUCUGGUAUGUUUCGCCUUUAAAACCCAAGAGCCAUUUUUGAAAUGAUCAGUGGCUCAGAAUAGGG